This 850-nucleotide ribosomal RNA is filed under the name Klebsiella pneumoniae. Its description in RNAcentral is "bacterial LSU rRNA". It matches the Rfam family "Bacterial large subunit ribosomal RNA", at positions 2093 to 2925 of the family's 2925-position model. The record is from RNAcentral. Lineage: Bacteria; Pseudomonadati; Pseudomonadota; Gammaproteobacteria; Enterobacterales; Enterobacteriaceae.
GUGAACCUUUACUAUAGCUUGACACUGAACAUUGAGCCUUGAUGUGUAGGAUAGGUGGGAGGCUUUGAAGCGUGGACGCCAGUCUGCGUGGAGCCAACCUUGAAAUACCACCCUUUAAUGUUUGAUGUUCUAACGUUGGCCCCUGACCGGGGUUGCGGACAGUGUCUGGUGGGUAGUUUGACUGGGGCGGUCUCCUCCCAAAGCGUAACGGAGGAGCACGAAGGUUAGCUAAUCCUGGUCGGACAUCAGGAGGUUAGUGCAAUGGCAUAAGCUAGCUUGACUGCGAGCGUGACGGCGCGAGCAGGUGCGAAAGCAGGUCAUAGUGAUCCGGUGGUUCUGAAUGGAAGGGCCAUCGCUCAACGGAUAAAAGGUACUCCGGGGAUAACAGGCUGAUACCGCCCAAGAGUUCAUAUCGACGGCGGUGUUUGGCACCUCGAUGUCGGCUCAUCACAUCCUGGGGCUGAAGUAGGUCCCAAGGGUAUGGCUGUUCGCCAUUUAAAGUGGUACGCGAGCUGGGUUUAGAACGUCGUGAGACAGUUCGGUCCCUAUCUGCCGUGGGCGCUGGAGAAUUGAGGGGGGCUGCUCCUAGUACGAGAGGACCGGAGUGGACGCAUCACUGGUGUUCGGGUUGUCAUGCCAAUGGCACUGCCCGGUAGCUAAAUGCGGAAGAGAUAAGUGCUGAAAGCAUCUAAGCACGAAACUUGCCCCGAGAUGAGUUCUCCCUGAGACUUUAAGUCUCCUGAAGGAACGUUGAAGACGACGACGUUGAUAGGCCGGGUGUGUAAGCGCAGCGAUGCGUUGAGCUAACCGGUACUAAUGAACCGUGAGGCUUAACCUUACAACGCCGAAG